Molecule: transfer-messenger RNA, 352 nt
Filed under: Clostridia
Lineage: Bacteria; Bacillati; Bacillota
Also listed under: 1 other name
Description: Ornithomonoglobus sp902796445 Standard tmRNA
Rfam family: transfer-messenger RNA
About the family: Bacterial tmRNA, also known as 10Sa RNA or SsrA, is named for its dual tRNA and mRNA-like properties. Its role is to liberate the mRNA from a stalled ribosome.
Source: RNAcentral
GGGGCUGCAAUGGCUUCGACGGAGAUGAAGAAGCUUAGGAAGCGAGCCGAGGAUUGGAUCAGCCUCGUAAACAAGGUCCAAACUUUAAAUAUAAACGCUAAAACAGAAUUAGCUUACGCUGCCUAAUUGCAGCGUUGUCCGCCCUGUGAGUACCACGGCACAGGCUCGGGCAUCGUAUUAGUGGUGCACGUGAGCAGAUGUUGUCUUGCCAUCCGCCAUGAAUUAAAGACUACCAAAAUCAUAGCUUUGGUUAUGGAGUAUUGAUUGAGGGAAUGUUAAUCAUAACCUGCGCUCGGAGAAACCUUUGUGGAUUUGUUUUCGGACACGAGUUCGAUUCUCGUCAGCUCCACCA